Ribosomal RNA from Mustela putorius furo (domestic ferret), 133 nucleotides. The record is from Ensembl. Lineage: Eukaryota; Metazoa; Chordata; Mammalia; Carnivora; Mustelidae.
GUCUACGGCCAUACCACCCUGAACGCGCCCGAUCUCGUCUGAUCUCGGAAGCUAAGCAGGGUCGGGCCUGGUUAGUACUUGGAUGGGAGAAAAAGUUCUCUAUGGCCCCGUGGUAGAAAUGGAGCAGUCUCUU